GAUGAAGAACGUAGCGAAAUGCGAUAAGUAAUGUGAAUUGCAGAAUUCAGUGAAUCAUCGAAUCUUUGAACGCACAUUGCGCCCCCUGGUAUUCCGGGGGGCAUGCCUGUCCGAGCGUCAUUACAACCCUCAAGCUCAGCUUGGUGUUGGGCCCCGCCGCCCCGGCGGGCCCUAAAGUCAGUGGCGGUGCCGUCCGGCUCCGAGCGUAGUGAUUCUUCUCGCUCUGGAGGUCCGGUCGUGUGCUCGCCAGCAACCCCCAAUUUUUUUCAGGUUGACCUCGGAUCAGGUAGGGAUACCCGCUGAACUUAAGCAUAUCAAUAAGCGGAGGA
This 329-nucleotide unclassified non-coding RNA is filed under the name soil metagenome. Its description in RNAcentral is "partial contains 5.8S ribosomal RNA, internal transcribed spacer 2, and large subunit ribosomal RNA". The stretch from base 1 to 120 matches the Rfam family "5.8S ribosomal RNA", at positions 35 to 154 of the family's 154-position model. The record is from RNAcentral.